This 305-nucleotide ribosomal RNA is filed under the name uncultured bacterium. RNAcentral describes it as "partial 16S ribosomal RNA". It matches the Rfam family "Bacterial small subunit ribosomal RNA", at positions 508 to 807 of the family's 1533-position model. The record is from RNAcentral.
ACAGCAGCCGCCACGGUAAUACAGAGGGUGCGAGCGUUAAUCGGAUUUACUGGGCGUAAAGCGUGCGUAGGCGGCUUCUUAAGUCGGAUGUAAAAUCACUGAGCUUAACUUAGGAAUUGCAUUCGAUACUGGGAAGCUAGAGUAUGGGAGAGGAUGGUAGAAUUCCAGGUGUAGCGGUGAAAUGCGUAGAGAUCUGGAGGAAUACCGAUGGCGAAGGCAGCCAUCUGGCCUAAUACUGACGCUGAGGUACGAAAGCAUGGGGAGCAAACAGGAUUAGAUACCCCCGUAGUCCCUGUCUCUUAUAC